AAACGUAGGAGGCGAGCGUUAUCCGGAUUUACUGGGCGUAAAGCGCGUGCAGGCGGCUCGAAAAGUUGGAUGUGAAAGCUCCUGGCUUAACUGGGAGAGGUCGCUCAAUACUUUCGGGCUUGAGGAUGGGAGAGGGAGGUGGAAUUCCGGGUGUAGUGGUGAAAUGCGUAGAUAUCCGGAGGAACACCAGUGGCGAAGGCGGCCUCCUGGCCCAUUUCUGACGCUCAGACGCGAAAGCUAGGGUAGCAAACGGGAUUAGAGACCCCGGUAGUCCUAGCUGUAAACGAUGUAGACUUGGCGUUGGUGGGUUCAAAUCCAUCAGUGCCGGAGCUAACGCGUUAAGUCUACCGCCUGGUGACUACGGCCGCAAGGUUAAA
RNAcentral lists this ribosomal RNA (377 nucleotides) under uncultured bacterium. Its description in RNAcentral is "bacterial SSU rRNA". It matches the Rfam family "Bacterial small subunit ribosomal RNA", at positions 523 to 898 of the family's 1533-position model. The record is from RNAcentral.